GGGGGGGGGGGGGGGGGGGGGUAGGGCAGGCGGGGCGGACGGGGAGGCCCGGCGUGUGGGGGGGGCGCGAGGGGCGAACGGGUGAGGAACACGUGAGUAACCUGCCCUUGACGUUGGGAUAACUUCAGGAAACUGGGGCUAAUACCGGAUAGGAGCUCCUGCGGCAUGGUGGGGGGUGGAAAGUUUCGGCGGUUGGGGAUGGACUCGCGGCUUAUCAGCUUGUUGGUGGGGUAGUGGCUUACCAAGGCUUUGACGGGUAGCCGGCCUGAGAGGGUGACCGGCCACAUUGGGACUGAGAUACGGCCCAGACUCCUACGGGAGGCAGCAGUGGGGAAUAUUGCACAAUGGGCGGAAGCCUGAUGCAGCAACGCCGCGUGCGGGAUGACGGCCUUCGGGUUGUAAACCGCUUUCGCCUGUGACGAAGCGUGAGUGACGGUAAUGGGUAAAGAAGCACCGGCUAACUACGUG
Molecule: ribosomal RNA, 468 nt
Filed under: uncultured bacterium
Lineage: Bacteria
Description: partial 16S ribosomal RNA
Rfam family: Bacterial small subunit ribosomal RNA (bases 49-468)
Source: RNAcentral